RNAcentral lists this non-coding RNA (155 nucleotides) under Roseibium hamelinense. Its description in RNAcentral is "6S RNA". It matches the Rfam family "6S / SsrS RNA". From Rfam's summary of the family: E. coli 6S RNA was the first non coding RNA to be sequenced, but its function was unknown until recently. It consists of 184 nucleotides that fold into an extended hairpin structure with a large single-stranded internal bulge. Lineage: Bacteria; Pseudomonadati; Pseudomonadota; Alphaproteobacteria; Hyphomicrobiales; Stappiaceae. The record is from RNAcentral.
UGCUGGCUGCGCGACACGUUAGGAAACAUUAUCCCCGGGGCCUUAAGCAUUCCCUUGGGAGCUGUCCCUGCUUCGGACCGUGGUCUGUUGCACACGGCGCCCACCUACGUCGUAGGUAUCCCGGGAUUGCAAUUCCGACGGUCGGGCGGCUGCUG